AUAUUAUUAAGCGGAGGAAAAGAAACUAACAAGGAUUUCCCUAGUAAUGGCGAAUGAACGGGAAAGAGCCCAGCACCGAAUCCCGUAGUGCUUCACUGCCGGGAACUGUGGUGUUAGGCAAGCCUUUCCUGCACUUUGAGGCAGUCAAAGUCCCCUUGAGGGGGGCCAUCGCCCAUAGCGGGUGCAAGGCCCAUACGACGCCCUUUGUGUUGGUUGGAGCUGCCGUGGAGUCGGGUUGCUUGAGAGUGCAGCCCAAAGUGGGUGGUAAACCCCAUCUAAGGCUAAAUAUAACCACGAGACCGAUAGCAAACAAGUACCGUGAGGGAAAGUUGCAAAGAACUUUGAAGAGAGAGUUCAAAGGACGUGAAACCGCUUAGAAGUAAACGGGUGGAGCUGCCAUUACCUCUAUCGGAUUCAGCUUGCUGGUAGUAGAUUUUCUCUUCCUGAUCGCAAGACAGGGGGGCGAUUCUCGUCUGCUGUCAGUAGGUGCAUUUUCGGUAGAUGUGCGCCACGACCAACUGGAACGCCAGCUAAAGGCCGGAUGAUUGCCGACUGUGGUUU
RNAcentral lists this ribosomal RNA (561 nucleotides) under uncultured fungus. RNAcentral's name for it is "eukaryotic LSU rRNA". It matches the Rfam family "Eukaryotic large subunit ribosomal RNA", at positions 40 to 596 of the family's 3401-position model. The record is from RNAcentral. Lineage: Eukaryota; Fungi.